AAUGGCAUGUUUAACACGGUCUUUCGACGUAUCCCACUAUAGCAGUAUGUGCUGGCAAUUACGUUAAGGGACAAUAUACUAUACACUAAGUUUCAUCAACUUAAAAGACACUUCUAGUUUGAAUUUAGUUAAAUGAUUAUCAAAUGAAUGAAUUUAAAGCAUGAGAUGAAAAACAAAAGUAGACAGCUGUCUGAACAUAUAUAUAUAUAUAUAUAUAUAUAUAUAUAUACAUAUAUAUAUAACAUGACCCUAGCAACAAGCUGAAGUUUCAAAGAAUCCAAAUUUGCUUUUACCUAGUAACAGAGAAUUAUACAUAUGAAGAACCAAUCAUAUUAGAGAAAAAUGAUGUAAUGAAUUUACCUUUGCCAUGCACUUAUUCUAUAUAAACUGUUGUACUCUAUGGCGAGACAUCAAAGAGCAAGACAUUGUCCAGCUCAGCUGACGUCAACUGGAGAUGCCGCAGGUUAACUUAAGUAAGGCAGGCAGGUGUCAGGAUGUUCUUCCAAGUGGCUACGGAUCCAGUUGCAGGUGUGAAGCUGGUCUGCUGUGUUGACCGAGUUUGAAUCACCACUGGUGAACACAGAGAAGCAGUUUGACCUGAGGGUAGCUGUAGAUAAAGGUAGAGCUUGUCGUUGUCAGAGAAACGCUGUACAUCUUCCUGAGAGGAGACAUGUCACAAGGAGAAGGAGGAAGGCAAAUGAAGGAUGCUUUCAUAAGAUUAAAGGAAUGAGGCAAAGAAAAUGUGCUCAAAAACACUGUAAAUGUACAAAUAGGCUGAAUGAGUGUGUAAUAUUAUACUAUACAACAAGACACAGUUGUAACACAAUAUGAACAUGAGUGGUCGUAGCCUAGUGGUUAUAGAUCUGAACUGCUAAUGUAAUAGUUGUGGGUUCAAACAUAAUCUACCAUAAUUGUGCCUUGAUAAAACACUUGAGAGUUUCUACAGCAUUCAUACUUGAGCUAACAAAAAGUGUCACCCUGUUAUAUCCUUGUUAUAAAUAAAAAUAUAAUGACUAUAA
This is a long non-coding RNA of Megalobrama amblycephala (Wuchang bream), 1019 nucleotides long. RefSeq lists it as uncharacterized. Lineage: Eukaryota; Metazoa; Chordata; Actinopteri; Cypriniformes; Xenocyprididae. The record is from RefSeq and is a predicted model, not a curated record. The transcript has 3 exons.